GUUUUAGCAAAAGAAAUUAUAUCUCGAAAUGUGGAAGUGGAAUCAUUUAAUUAUAUUAUUUUUUAUAGUGCCAGCCAGGCAAGGACUAGAAAAUAAAACUUCUACCUUGGCUUCAAAGUUGCUAAAGGAAUUACCCGAUUUGGAAAGAAACAGCUCCACCAAAGCUAAGAGUAUGCAUGACAAUGGAUUGCGCUUUCGAGCUCCACCCGCUGUAAAGUAUGUGUACUAUCCUUACCCCUACCCAAUGCAACCGUAUCCUCAAUAUCCACCUCACGGAUAUUAUCCACCACAAGGAUACUAUCCACCAAACGGAUAUUAUCCACCCACCGGAAGGUAUCCACCAAAAGGAAGUCCAUACCCAUAUCCAUAUCCUCCUUCAUCCGGGGGAAAAUCUGCACCGGUGAAUUUAAAUAUUCUUAAUGCAAAACACAAAGUAAGAUCUCCUGCCGGAUUACCUGAACCGCCAGUUGCACCGGUGGCUCCAUCUCCAGGCUUUGGAGCGCAGAAUCAAAAUGUAAUUACUAUAGUUAUAGGAAAAGAUCCAAAGUGAAGGCUAUAAUUAAAACUUGAGAAAUAAAAAUGCUAGCCAAAAAAUG
This is a long non-coding RNA of Drosophila gunungcola (fruit fly), 596 nucleotides long. RefSeq lists it as uncharacterized. The record is from RefSeq and is a predicted model, not a curated record. The transcript has 3 exons. NCBI's taxonomy places the organism in Eukaryota, Metazoa, Arthropoda, Insecta, Diptera, Drosophilidae.